GUUUAAAUAGCUUAAAUUGUCCAAUAAUAAAGCAUAAAAUUUUUAAUUUUAAGAUACUAAUGUUUUAAACA
RNAcentral lists this transfer RNA (71 nucleotides) under Eucoleus annulatus. RNAcentral describes it as "tRNA-Lys". Lineage: Eukaryota; Metazoa; Nematoda; Enoplea; Trichinellida; Capillariidae. The record is from RNAcentral.